Molecule: ribosomal RNA, 1372 nt
Filed under: uncultured bacterium
Lineage: Bacteria
Description: bacterial SSU rRNA
Rfam family: Bacterial small subunit ribosomal RNA
Source: RNAcentral
GAUGAACGCUGGCGGCGUGCCUAAUACAUGCAAGUCGAGCGAACGGACGAGAAGCUUGCUUCUCUGAUGCUAGCGGCGGACGGGUGAGUAACACGUGGAUAACCUACCUAUAAGACUGGGAUAACUUCGGGAAACCGGAGCUAAUACCGGAUAAUAUUUUGAACCGCAUGGUUCAAAAGUGAAAGACGGUCUUGCCGUCACUUAUAGAUGGAUCCGCGCUGCAUUAGCUAGUUGGUAAGGUAACGGCUUACCAAGGCAACGAUGCAUAGCCGACCUGAGAGGGUGAUCGGCCACACUGGAACUGAGACACGGUCCAGACUCCUACGGGAGGCAGCAGUAGGGAAUCUUCCGCAAUGGGCGAAAGCCUGACGGAGCAACGCCGCGUGAGUGAUGAAGGUCUUCGGAUCGUAAAACUCUGUUAUUAGGGAAGAACAUAUGUGUAAGUAACUGUGCACAUCUUGACGGUACCUAAUCAGAAAGCCACGGCUAACUACGUGCCAGCAGCCGCGGUAAUACGUAGGUGGCAAGCGUUAUCCGGAAUUAUUGGGCGUAAAGCGCGCGUAGGCGGUUUUUUAAGUCUGAUGUGAAAGCCCACGGCUCAACCGUGGAGGGUCAUUGGAAACUGGAAAACUUGAGUGCAGAAGAGGAAAGUGGAAUUCCAUGUGUAGCGGUGAAAUGCGCAGAGAUAUGGAGGAACACCAGUGGCGAAGGCGACUUUCUGGUCUGUAACUGACGCUGAUGUGCGAAAGCGUGGGGAUCAAACAGGAUUAGAUACCCUGGUAGUCCACGCCGUAAACGAUGAGUGCUAAGUGUUAGGGGGUUUCCGCCCCUUAGUGCUGCAGCUAACGCAUUAAGCACUCCGCCUGGGGAGUACGACCGCAAGGUUGAAACUCAAAGGAAUUGACGGGGACCCGCACAAGCGGUGGAGCAUGUGGUUUAAUUCGAAGCAACGCGAAGAACCUUACCAAAUCUUGACAUCCUUUGACAACUCUAGAGAUAGAGCUUUCCCCUUCGGGGGACAAAGUGACAGGUGGUGCAUGGUUGUCGUCAGCUCGUGUCGUGAGAUGUUGGGUUAAGUCCCGCAACGAGCGCAACCCUUAAGCUUAGUUGCCAUCAUUAAGUUGGGCACUCUAAGUUGACUGCCGGUGACAAACCGGAGGAAGGUGGGGAUGACGUCAAAUCAUCAUGCCCCUUAUGAUUUGGGCUACACACGUGCUACAAUGGACAAUACAAAGGGCAGCGAAACCGCGAGGUCAAGCAAAUCCCAUAAAGUUGUUCUCAGUUCGGAUUGUAGUCUGCAACUCGACUACAUGAAGCUGGAAUCGCUAGUAAUCGUAGAUCAGCAUGCUACGGUGAAUACGUUCCCGGGUCU